This 68-nucleotide transfer RNA is filed under the name Marmota monax (woodchuck). RNAcentral describes it as "tRNA.Ala". Lineage: Eukaryota; Metazoa; Chordata; Mammalia; Rodentia; Sciuridae. The record is from RNAcentral.
GUUGUGACUCAGUGGUAGAGCACUUGCCUAGCACGUGUGAGGCCCUGGUUUCGAUCCUCAGCAUCACA